AUUGAACGCUGGCGGCAUGCUUUACACAUGCAAGUCGAACGAGUGGCGAACGGGUGAGUAAUAUAUCGGAACGUACCGAGUAAUGGGGGAUAACCAAUCGAAAGAUUGGCUAAUACCGCAUACUAUCAGAUGAGCCUAGGUCGGAUUAGCUAGUUGGUGGGGUAAAGGCUCACCUAGGCGACGAUCUCUAGCUGGUCUGAGAGGAUGAUCAGCCACACUGGGACUGAGACACGGCCCAGACUCCUACGGGAGGCAGCAGUGGGGAAUAUUGCACAAUGGGCGCAAGCCUGAUGCAGCCAUGCCGCGUGUAUGAAGAAGGCCUUAGGGUUGUAAAGUACUUUCAGCGGGGAGGCGUUACCCGCAGAAGAAGCACCGGCUAACUCCGUGCCAGCAGCCGCGGUAAUUC
RNAcentral lists this ribosomal RNA (406 nucleotides) under uncultured bacterium. RNAcentral describes it as "partial 16S ribosomal RNA". It matches the Rfam family "Bacterial small subunit ribosomal RNA", at positions 30 to 526 of the family's 1533-position model. The record is from RNAcentral.